Molecule: ribosomal RNA, 440 nt
Filed under: uncultured bacterium
Lineage: Bacteria
Description: partial 16S ribosomal RNA
Rfam family: Bacterial small subunit ribosomal RNA
Source: RNAcentral
CCUACGGGUGGCAGCAGUGGGGGAUAUUGCACAUUGGGGGGAACUCUGAUGCAGCGACGCCGCGUGGGUGAAGAAGCGCCUCGGCGCGUAAAGCCCUGUCGGCAGGGAAGAAGAUGACGGUACCUGCAAAAGAAGCCCCGGCUAACUACGUGCCAGCAGCCGCGGUAAUACGUAGGGGGCAAGCGUUGUCCGGAUUUACUGGGUGUAAAGGGGGCGCAGGCGGCGAUGCAAGCCAGGAGUGAAAGCCCGGGGCUCAACCUCGGGACUGCUAUUGUAACUGCGUGGCUGGAGUGCAGGAGGGGCAGGCGGAAUUCCUGGUGUAGAGGUGAAAUGCGUAGAUAUCAGGAGGAACACCGGUGGCGAAGGCGGCCUGCUGGACUGCAACUGACGUUGAGGCCCGAAAGCGUGGGGAGCAAACAGGAUUAGAUACCCUUGUAGUC